CUCGUUGGGACGAGGUCAACGAGGGUGGACCGACAAAACACAAUCGAUAAACUCCGAUGUCUCUGUCAAUGUCUCCUCGCGUUUCCUCUGUUUCGGUUCUGUCACCACCGUUCAGAGACAUCCACGUUCUCUUCUGAUUCUUACAUUCUUUCUUGGUCCUCUUCCUCCUAAUCUCACCUGAACAAAGAACAUGGUCAUUAUGGUGAUGGUCGGAUUGGGACUAUUGGACUUCCUCGUUGCCGGGGUUUCAUUAAUCAUUGGUUUGGCCUUCAUUACCUUCAUUGCUUCCAUUCUCUGCGCCACAGCGUUCUUCAACAACGCCAAGGAUGUCGUCUCCUGAGUGCUGAAUCCUCAAUUCGAUGAUUAGAAAACAGCCAUAUCACGAGUUCUACCCAACCCUAUGAACUAAUAGGAGGAAACUCUGGGCUAUAUGAACUACUGCUGCUGGCACAAACUCAACAAAUUUAUGAUGUAUUUAAUUUCGAAGUAGGGUAGAGAAUUUUGAGUUUCACCAUGUUGGAACUAUAGACCUCUAAUGUUUGUGCUCUAAAGUUUUUGAUAAUUAUGUAAUUUUAAAGAUGGAAUGAACUCACUGACAACAUUUUUAAGUGUGCAGAGUCAGACAAUGUUCAUAAUAAUUAAGGAUAUUCUGAAGUUUUUGACAAAGAUAUCCCAUCAUGAUCGAAUGAAAAAUGUUUGAAGCAUUA
Long non-coding RNA from Glycine soja, 707 nucleotides. RefSeq lists it as uncharacterized. The record is from RefSeq and is a predicted model, not a curated record. NCBI's taxonomy places the organism in Eukaryota, Viridiplantae, Streptophyta, Magnoliopsida, Fabales, Fabaceae. The transcript has 2 exons.